Molecule: unclassified non-coding RNA, 206 nt
Filed under: Glomus sp.
Lineage: Eukaryota; Fungi; Glomeromycota; Glomeromycetes; Glomerales; Glomeraceae
Description: partial contains 5.8S ribosomal RNA and internal transcribed spacer 2
Rfam family: 5.8S ribosomal RNA (bases 1-72)
Source: RNAcentral
GUGAAUCAUCGAAUUUUUGAACGCAAAUUGCACUCUCCGGUUUUCCGGGAGAGAAUGCCUGUUGGGGGGUCGGUUUAAAAAAUAAUCGAGGCUGCUGCUGUUGUGGCGCUUCGGCAUUGGGUCAUCUUCCACCUUUCGUGGUUGUAAGCGACUUAAAAUUUUUCUUACGAUUUUUACAAACGUGUCUAUGAAUUUCUUGUACGUUC